CAACAGCUACGAGCUUGGACCUCUACGUGGUGCUGUUGACCAUUAGCCCUCCGGUGAAGCCAACGCAAGC
This 70-nucleotide non-coding RNA is filed under the name Penicillium rubens Wisconsin 54-1255. Lineage: Eukaryota; Fungi; Ascomycota; Eurotiomycetes; Eurotiales; Aspergillaceae. The record is from RNAcentral.